Molecule: long non-coding RNA, 1914 nt
Filed under: Vitis vinifera (wine grape)
Lineage: Eukaryota; Viridiplantae; Streptophyta; Magnoliopsida; Vitales; Vitaceae
Description: long non-coding RNA (VVIN_LNC006021)
Source: RNAcentral
UUAGCUAUUGAUUUUAAAUUCCUGAUUGUUUACCUUGUUAGUCAUUUUGGUUUAUUGUCCAGUGAUCAACCUGAUGAUCAAGUAACACUAUUUAUUGUAAUCUGGAAACACUUGAAAAGAAAGUUACUUUGACUAUCCAUGCAAAAGUCUGACCAAAAAAGCAUCGGUAUGCCGCAGAAUAUUGGGGAGUCAACAGAUGGACGCUAACAGACAUGGCAUAGCCAAAAUGAGGAGUCAUUAGAUGGGUAAAAAAGCAAUCAGAAAUGUGUUGAUCUGAGGUGACCUAGGAAGAUUAGGAAUCAACUGUGAAUUUUUGGUGCUACUAUAUCCAGAAUUCCUGCCUACAUAGGGCUUUAAAUUGGACAGAAGUAGUUGAAAAUGGUAAAGUCAUCACUUGAGCUGUGUAUUAGCUUGCCUGCAUUAUGUAUGAUGAACAGGAGCUAUGUCCCUGGGCACCUAGAUAGCGUGCCCCUUUUCCCUUAGACGCCUUUAACAUACAACCUACUUGCCUGGAAAAAUAAUUUUUUUUCAAAAAAAAAGGGUCAGAAAUUGAGUAAUAGGAAUUACAUUGACAACCUAAAAUGAUAAGGGGGUAUGUUGUGGGCCUUGUGGCCAUAGACCCCUAUAGCAAUUAAAACCAUCUAGUAUCUCGGUUCAAGUAACCGACAGAAAACCAAGGAUUUUGCAGCAAUAUAACUCCAGACUGUAGGGGCUGGAGGGUGUUCUCACCAUGACAAGUUCAGGUAAGUCAUUCUAGGCCAGAAUCCUUUGCAAAGGGCUGGAACUUUGAGGAGGCCUGCUAUUUGCCUUCCAAAAAGCAGAGAGAAGUCCCAAUGUUACCAGCUCCACAAAGCCAAAUUCCCAUUUAUCCCACCCCUUCAAAUCUCUUUUUGAUUCCUUUAAACUAUUUAGUUCCAGUCACUGCUCAGCCGUAUUUGACAACCCAUUCAGAUCCUCUCUUAGUCGCAAAUCCAAUUUUUCCAAAUGCAGUACCUGACUGAAUUGUCAGCAGUCCCAACUGUGAUGGAAUAGGGUGUCCUAUUUUCAAUAUAACCCAGUGUAUUAGAGUGCUACUUCCCUUAGAACACUGCCCGGUCCCCCCAAGGGGGCUCAAUUCCUUGCAAAACAAAAACAGCCAAUAGACCUAGGUUCCUUCUCUUUUGAAGGGUUUCUCAUAGGUAUUACCCCUAAUAAAAUGGAAAGAGUUUUGUCUGUUUUGGCAAUCAUAAAUUUUAAGCUAGUCAAGUAUUGAGAGAAUGAUCUUCCAAUGGGUUGCAAUAGUUUAAAGUAGAAUGUUUAAGGGGGAAGUAUAAGCUGUGAUAUCCGGAAGAGAUGCUUAACUGGGGUUGGCACCAUGUUUGUUGGGAUUUUCACUUGUGGUAUGAAAAUCAUAAGUUGGAACAUUAGAAGCUUAGGGUCUAGAAAGAAAAAGAGAGUAGUAAAGGAUUUUCUUCACCACGGAUCUCCAGACAUUGUGAUGUUUUAGGAAACAAAGAGAGACGAGUGUGACAUGAGAUUCGUGUGGACAAGCAGAAACAAGAAGUAAGCCACUUUACCAACUUGUGGGUCAUCGGGAGGAGUCUUAACAAUAUGGAACUCAAGAAAAUAUUCAUGUUUAGACUUAGUGCUAGGAUCCUUCUUAGUUUCAAUUAAUCUAGUUUUAGUUGGAGAAGUAGAUUUUUGGCUUACCUUAGUGUAUGUUACCAACAUUUCCAUUCUCAUAAAAGACUUUUGGACAAUGAUAUUAGAUCUUUUUGGUUUGAUCAAUCUAAUUUUUUUUUCUUUUGCAUGUUUAGACUUAGUGCUAGGAUCCUUCUUAGUUCCAAUUAAGCUAGAUUUGGUUGGAGAAAUAGAUUUUUGACUUACCUUAGUGUAUGUUACCAAUAUUUCCAUUCUCAUAAAAGACUUUUGGAC